Amblyraja radiata (thorny skate) is the source of this 619-nucleotide long non-coding RNA. RefSeq lists it as uncharacterized. The record is from RefSeq and is a predicted model, not a curated record. Lineage: Eukaryota; Metazoa; Chordata; Chondrichthyes; Rajiformes; Rajidae. The transcript is spliced from 3 exons.
UGUCCGACAAUAGGCUUCUAUGAAGUGCAAAAGUCAUUCGAUAGAACUCAAGCCAGAGGUGGCAACGUUGCAGAUGAAUUCACGUGCAACUCCUUCCUCACGACGGUGCCAAGGAAGUUAAAUCUGGUGCGACAGUCUGCAGAUGAGCCUGGACCUGGUGCAUACAAGCCUCUGCUGAAGUCCAAGCCCAAAAUGGCUUUAAUGGUGUCCAGACAACCCCGCUUCAAAGAGGACAAUUACUUCACCCCUGGCCCCGGAGAUUAUGAGCUGAGCCCAGCCAUUAUGGACACUCUUCUGAAGGGGACCUUCAAUGCUACCUUAUAUAAUCCACUCCUCAAUCCACCACAGACUCCGAGGCAUCCCGACCCCCCACUAUUCCAGGACCUGUGACAUCCAUCUGACCAUCAAACCACAUCAGACAUUAAGUAUGGAUACACAAAGCCCCUAUAAACUCUGCAUUUGCUGUGUUCAUCUUUCCUACUGUUGUUUUGCCUGUUAAUUUUAAUUAAUGUCAAAGAGUAGUGGGCAUAGAUAGAUAUAAAGUGAAAGGGUAAAAUUUUAAGGGAGACUAGACCAAGUGGGACCCGUUGGGUCCCUGUCACGCGGGAGCCCUGGUUCC